Molecule: long non-coding RNA, 1429 nt
Organism: Myotis myotis
Lineage: Eukaryota; Metazoa; Chordata; Mammalia; Chiroptera; Vespertilionidae
Exons: 3
Source: RefSeq, a predicted model, not a curated record
GACAAUCCACUGAGCCACACCCGCACUGGCUGGGCAAAGAGUGCCUUUUUAAUAUUUAGAUUUUUCUAUUCUUUUAGGGAAGGGGAUGGGGAGUUGACUCAAAUCCCAUUCCCCAGAAAUUACAGCAGAGAAAGAAGGAAAAGAGGAGCUAUUAGUAAUCUAGAUUUGAACACAAUUGGGUGACUCUUGAAUUAAUGUCGCAGUGAUUGAGAAGCCGGAAGCUUGGAGCUCAUCCAGUGAUUCUGUCACAUACUCAUGUCUCCAUCUGCUGGCAGAACUUGGUUUUACAAGGCAAACUCAAAUCCUGAAUUACGUGCAUAUGGAAAUUUGCAGGCCCCAGGAUUACUAAAGAGCUAACUCUGUCUUCUUGGUAUAAUUUCACUCUGUUACUGGGAUCACACUGGAAGACGAGGCUGGUGUGGAAAUCCCCUGGGAGAAAAUGACGGUCAUUGUCGAAGGAGAAACAGGAAGGAAGCUUUUGCCUCCUACCAAGCCAAAGACGGGGCUGGACUCCAAAGAAACUGUCAUUCAAACCAGGACUGAGAAGCACCUGUUCUGCCCUCUCCAUGAUUCUUCUGGUGCCUCUAUGAAUGGCCUGAAAGUUUCAGAUAACAGCAUCUCCUCUAUCUGGAUCUCAUAUGGAGGAUAAGGACAACUGGGGCCCAGUCCACAGAUUCAGCUCCACACUGCAGAGUGGAACAUGGAUAGGAUACUGGCUUCAUCCUUGGAUUUGAAGAAUUAUAAGUGAUUUGUAUCCUAGAGGGAAAAAAUAUGAAGACACAAAAGAGGAACAGCAAGCAUAGGCCUGGGCUAUCCACGAUGCUCAAGGAAGCAGGAGCUAUCAGACAAUCCAAGGUCAUAUGAGGAAACUAAAGCUGGGGCAAGGUAAGUGACUGCCCAGAGUCACACAGUUGGAUGAAGAGCAAAACUGGAACUGGAAUGUGAGUUUUUUGUUUUAUGCAAAUUAUGUGUCUCUUUCUGCUAUGGGAAAGACAUUGGUCAGGGAAGACUUCACAGAGGAGGUGCUUGAAUUACCCAAGUGUCAGGGCGCCAAGUACACAAGGGGGACAGGGUCCUCUGGGCAAAGGCACAAAGAUGCAACACAGCACAGCCAGUUAAGGAAACAAAACAUGGUUUCUAGAAUGUGAACUCCUUGAGGACAAGAAGGUCCAGCUCCUUGAAUGGGGCCUGGGUUUAGCAAGCGAGGUUUGAAGGAAGGAAUGUCUGGAACACAGACCCUCCAUAGGAGAGUAGCUGUGGGGGAGGAUAGGAAGUUAGGCAAGAGUCAGAAGAUGGAGAGCCUUUUAUACAAUACCAGGAGCCCAGUGCAUGAAUUCGUGCACCUUGAAAGGAACUGUGGGCUGUGAGGCUGCGGUGGGCACAAGGGCAGGUCUUUUUUUAAAAAAAUAUAUUUUAUUGAAUUUUUACA